This 48-nucleotide non-coding RNA is filed under the name Schistosoma mansoni. Lineage: Eukaryota; Metazoa; Platyhelminthes; Trematoda; Strigeidida; Schistosomatidae. The record is from RNAcentral.
AUCCAGUUGACGAAUCCGACAUAGGACGAAACGAGCGUCAAACUGGAU